Molecule: long non-coding RNA, 489 nt
Filed under: Gallus gallus (chicken)
Lineage: Eukaryota; Metazoa; Chordata; Aves; Galliformes; Phasianidae
Description: long non-coding RNA NONGGAT004539
Source: RNAcentral
AGAACACAAGCUUAAAUGUCUUCAAAGAGUGGCAGGGAGAGGACAGGGAUAUUAACUGUUGCAGUAAAUUCAAGGUGAAAGGAAUGAGACUACAGAUGCCAAAUGGUGUUUUCAUCAGAUGUCUCUAUCUGAUGUGAAGCUACAGUGCUGGAGAAUCAAACAUACCAUACAGGCUACAUACUGUUCCUGUUCGAAGUGUUGAUCUAUCUCCUGCAUCUUAGAAGAGGAAACAAGUCCUGAAGAAUCUGCAGUUUUCAGCUGCUUCUUCCUAUGUAAGGUUUGAGCUCUGCGUCCAUGGCAUUUGCAAAACACUACUGCAUCCAGCCUGCCAGGGCACAGCACCUUUCAGCUCUGAAACCUGAGCUCAGUUUUGGCAACUGACUUGUAAAGCUACAUUUCAGGAGCACAAUGAUAAAGUCAUUGGGCUGUGGACAGGUAUGUUUUUAACACCGUAGCUGCUGUGGGAUUAUUGCAGUUAUCUAUAUGGAC